This is a long non-coding RNA of Puntigrus tetrazona (Sumatra barb), 1295 nucleotides long. RefSeq lists it as uncharacterized. The record is from RefSeq and is a predicted model, not a curated record. Lineage: Eukaryota; Metazoa; Chordata; Actinopteri; Cypriniformes; Cyprinidae. The transcript is spliced from 2 exons.
GAAAAUAGGGCAGAGAUAAAAUAGAAUGAGGAAUGUGAAAAAGAAUGUCUGCAGUUCAGAUAGAAUGUGGCAACUUCUCUGUGGAACAUUUAGUACAGAACAUGUGGCAGUUGUUGAAAUUGUCACAUGAAUGCCUUAUUGUGACUUUUGUGUUCACUCGUGUAAACUUAUUUGUUUUUGUGUAUCAUUAUGCUUGUGUGAGUUUGUGUGUGCGUGGGAAGGGGGUUUGCAGAUUAUACAAGUUGCGCUGUGUUUGGCAGGUGUCCAUUAUUUACUCUGCAGUAUAUGUCUGACAGAUCCUAAGAACAUGCUGUCCUGGGAAAGCAGUUUUUUUUUCACACACAUCUCUCUCACUCUUCCUUUCAUUCUCUGCAUUUGAGAUGAGCAGGGAGCUGAAUCAAGUCUUUGUUCUUAGCCUAAGACACUGAAGAGGAUUAUCUAUAUGAAGGAGGAUGGAUCAUGGGGGUCUGUUGUGUUGAUGUCGCAUCACCCACCGAAUGCUGCGCUUUACUCUUGUAGCCCCUAAAAUAAAAUAAAACUCUUUUCCUCAAAUGCAUACAACAGCAAAACAAGAUGAUUAUAAUAUGUUCAGUUUCAAGGUCAUCCAAGCCCCUAUAAAGUCCCUAUAAAAGCCCUAUAAAGUGUCUGCUCUGGAACUACAUUCUCCAGACAAACCAAAAUCAUUCACUCCUGCAGGAAAUAUAACAAUAAGGUGCUUACUGGUUAUAAAUGUACAGGUAUAUGUUUCAGGUAAUAACUGCAGUUUAUUUUAGCUAAUGGUCUGCACCUAUUUGCAGUUUGAUUUACAAUGUAAUGAUACAUUAUGUAAUGUACAGGAGAACUGUAUGUAAAAGGAUUUGUGCUCUAAAAGGAACGGCAAAAUGUCUUAAAGAAAAAUACUUGCUUAGCUGUACCCUGCCUAUAAGGUGUUGUAAUCCUGAUGAGGUUAUGUAAGAUGUAGUCAUUCAGGUAUGUCCUAGACCUUCUCAACCUGAAUAAUAGUGUUACCAGCAUUAAAACAAAACAAGACUUUUUGAAGUCAACAUAAAUGAUUUUUUUCUGACUCACUUAUUGUGUCACAUAUGAAUAGAUGCACUUUUUUCAAAGCACUAGGAAUAAACGUUGUGUGUGUAAAGCAGGUGGUUUGGUGUUGAGAGGGGUGGUUUUAGUUUGGAAUGUCUUGCCUGUUGGUUCUUCUUUCCCAUUCAGGUCCUUCAAGAAGAAACAAGAUUUGCAUAACUGUCAUGUUCAGCAAUAUGUAAAUGAGAUGUUUUCAAUAAAAUGGUUCUUCUCUU